AGCUCCAAUAGCGUAUACUAAAGUUGUUGCAGUUAAAAAGCUCGUAGUUGAAUUUCGGUCCCUUCGCCUGUGGUCAGCCUUACGGUAUGUACCCUGGCGGGCGGUCCUCUUUGUGGGAAAACCAUGUGGCCUUCGCUGGUCGCGUGGCGGAACCAUGACGUUUACUUUGAAAAAAUUAGAGUGUUUAAAGCAAGCGUUCGCUUGAAUACAUUAGCAUGGAAUAAUGAAAUAGGGCUGCGGUUCCUAUUUUGUUGGUUUCUAGGUGCGUAGCAAUGAUUAAUAGGGAUAGUUGGGGGCGUCAAUAUUUGAUUGUCAGAGGUGAAAUUCUUGGAUUUAUGAAAGAUUAACUUCUGCGAAAGCAUUCGCCAAGGAUGUUUUCAUUA
RNAcentral lists this ribosomal RNA (383 nucleotides) under Glomus sp. Its description in RNAcentral is "partial small subunit ribosomal RNA". It matches the Rfam family "Eukaryotic small subunit ribosomal RNA", at positions 587 to 975 of the family's 1831-position model. Lineage: Eukaryota; Fungi; Glomeromycota; Glomeromycetes; Glomerales; Glomeraceae. The record is from RNAcentral.